RNAcentral lists this ribosomal RNA (466 nucleotides) under uncultured bacterium. RNAcentral's name for it is "partial 16S ribosomal RNA". It matches the Rfam family "Bacterial small subunit ribosomal RNA", at positions 28 to 507 of the family's 1533-position model. The record is from RNAcentral.
GACGAACGCUGGCGGCGUGCUUAACACAUGCAAGUCGAACGGAAAGGCCCUGCUUUUGUGGGGUGCUCGUGUCGAACAGGUGAGUAACACGCGAGUAAACCCCCCCUGACAUUGGGAUAACUCUAGGAAACAGGGGCUAAAACCGGAUAGGAGCUCCCGCUCCAUGGGGGGGGUUGUAAAGUUUCGGCGGUUGGGGAUGGACUCUCGGCUUAUCAGCUUGUUGGUGGGGUAGUGGCUUACCAAGGCUUUGACGGGUAGCCGGCCUGAGAGGGUGACCGGCCCCAUUGGGACUGAGAUACGGCCCAGACUCCUACGGGAGGCAGCAGUGGGGAAUAUUGCACAAUGGGCGGAAGCCUGAUGCAGCAACGCCGCGUGCGGGAUGACGGCCUUCGGGUUGUAAACCGCUUUCGCCUGUGACGAAGCGUGAGUGACGGUAAUGGGUAAAGAAGCACCGGCUAACUACGUG